CCUACGGGGCGCUGCAGUGGGGAAUAUUGGACAAUGGGCGAAAGCCUGAUCCAGCCAUGCCGCGUGUGUGAAGAAGGCCUUCGGGUUGUAAAGCACUUUCAGUGGGGAAGAAAGCCUUGGGGCUAAUACCCUCGAGGAAGGACAUCACCCACAGAAGAAGCACCGGCUAACUCCGUGCCAGCAGCCGCGGUAAUACGGAGGGUGCGAGCGUUAAUCGGAAUUACUGGGCGUAAAGCGCGCGUAGGCGGUCUGAUAAGCCGGUUGUGAAAGCCCCGGGCUCAACCUGGGAACGGCAUCCGGAACUGUCAGGCUAGAGGGCAGGAGAGGAAGGUAGAAUUCCCGGUGUAGCAGUGAAAUGCGUAGAGAUCGGGAGGAAUACCAGUGGCGAAGGCGGCCUUCUGGACUGACACUGACGCUGAGGUGCGAAAGCGUGGGUAGCAAACAGGAUUAGAUACCCCAGUAGUC
Molecule: ribosomal RNA, 465 nt
Filed under: Vreelandella stevensii
Lineage: Bacteria; Pseudomonadati; Pseudomonadota; Gammaproteobacteria; Oceanospirillales; Halomonadaceae
Description: partial 16S ribosomal RNA
Rfam family: Bacterial small subunit ribosomal RNA
Source: RNAcentral